RNAcentral lists this long non-coding RNA (309 nucleotides) under Olea europaea (common olive). RNAcentral describes it as "long non-coding RNA (OEUR_LNC009287)". Lineage: Eukaryota; Viridiplantae; Streptophyta; Magnoliopsida; Lamiales; Oleaceae. The record is from RNAcentral.
CCAAGUCGAACCCCUGUUCGGGUUAGGGUUUGGUUUUAAUAAUUACAAGGAUUCGAAUAAUUCUAUUUACGAAAUACUCGAAGUAUAAUGGGUGAUUCUAUGUAUCGAAAUACUCGAACCAGCCCAUCCGGUGUCCAAGCAAGGUUUUGUAGAAAUUUCACAACAUCGACAAGCCUUCUAAUCAGUGCCCUUUAAAACUUACUCCCUUAUUUGAUGGAAUAGAAACACAAGACUUUUAAAUAGACAAAAGGGUUAAUAGCACAAAACAUCCCUAUAUUUGACACUUAUUGCGGAAAACGUCCCUACAUU